AGUAGGGAAUAUUGGGCAAUGGGCGAAAGCCUGACCCAGCAACGCCGCGUGUACGAUGAAGGUCUUCGGAUCGUAAAGUACUUUUCUGGGAGAUGAGAAAGGACAGUAUCCCAGGAAUAAGCCUCGGCUAACUACGUGCCAGCAGCCGCGGUAAAACGUAGGAGGCAAGCGUUAUCCGGAGUUACUGGGCGUAAAGCGCGUGCAGGCGGAUGAUUAAGUCGUUUAUGAAAGCCCCUGGCUAAACUGGGGGAGGCUAGACGAUACUGGUUGUCUUGAGUGGGUGAGAGGGAUGUGGAAUUCCGCGUGUAGUGGUGAAAUGCGUAGAUAUGCGGAGGAACACCAGAGGCGAAGGCGACAUCCUGGCACUCAACUGACGCUGAGGCGCGAAAGCAUGGGUAGCGAACGGGAUUAGAUACCCU
Molecule: ribosomal RNA, 419 nt
Filed under: Corynebacterium amycolatum
Lineage: Bacteria; Bacillati; Actinomycetota; Actinomycetes; Mycobacteriales; Corynebacteriaceae
Description: bacterial SSU rRNA
Rfam family: Bacterial small subunit ribosomal RNA
Source: RNAcentral